UUCUCAAUGAAGAUAAAGAGACCUUAAGAUAGGAAGUGCCGUCUGACAAUUUAAUCAGCAGCAGAUCUAUCUGUCGAAUGUCGGAUCAUAUCUGCUGCUUGUGUGAUUAUAAUUGGGUCUCUGAGAGUU
Molecule: small nucleolar RNA, 129 nt
Organism: Dendrobium catenatum
Lineage: Eukaryota; Viridiplantae; Streptophyta; Magnoliopsida; Asparagales; Orchidaceae
Product: small nucleolar RNA Z112
Exons: 1
Source: RefSeq, a predicted model, not a curated record